RNAcentral lists this transfer RNA (90 nucleotides) under Pseudonocardia autotrophica. RNAcentral's name for it is "tRNA-Arg". RNAcentral also lists the same sequence under 1 other name. Lineage: Bacteria; Bacillati; Actinomycetota; Actinomycetes; Pseudonocardiales; Pseudonocardiaceae. The record is from RNAcentral.
GGGCCUGCUGGCCGACCUGGCCGGGUGGCGCGUCGUCCUCGGUGCGACGGCGGCCGGCUGCGCGGUGCUGUUCGUCGCGCUGCGGGCGCU